This 778-nucleotide ribosomal RNA is filed under the name uncultured Burkholderiales bacterium. RNAcentral's name for it is "bacterial SSU rRNA". It matches the Rfam family "Bacterial small subunit ribosomal RNA", at positions 16 to 784 of the family's 1533-position model. The record is from RNAcentral. Lineage: Bacteria; Pseudomonadati; Pseudomonadota; Betaproteobacteria; Burkholderiales.
AUCCUGGCUCAGAUUGAACGCUGGCGGCAUGCCUUACACAUGCAAGUCGAACGGCAGCAUGAUCUAGCUUGCUAGAUUGAUGGCGAGUGGCGAACGGGUGAGUAAUACAUCGGAACGUGCCCUGUAGUGGGGGAUAACUAGUCGAAAGAUUAGCUAAUACCGCAUACGACCUGAGGGUGAAAGUGGGGGACCGCAAGGCCUCAUGCUAUAGGAGCGGCCGAUGUCUGAUUAGCUAGUUGGUGGGGUAAAGGCCCACCAAGGCGACGAUCAGUAGCUGGUCUGAGAGGACGAUCAGCCACACUGGGACUGAGACACGGCCCAGACUCCUACGGGAGGCAGCAGUGGGGAAUUUUGGACAAUGGGGGCAACCCUGAUCCAGCAAUGCCGCGUGUGUGAAGAAGGCCUUCGGGUUGUAAAGCACUUUUGUCCGGAAAGAAAUCGCACUUACUAAUAUUAGGUGUGGAUGACGGUACCGGAAGAAUAAGGACCGGCUAACUACGUGCCAGCAGCCGCGGUAAUACGUAGGGUCCAAGCGUUAAUCGGAAUUACUGGGCGUAAAGCGUGCGCAGGCGGUUGUGCAAGACUGAUGUGAAAUCCCCGGGCUUAACCUGGGAAUUGCAUUGGUGACUGCACGGCUAGAGUGUGUCAGAGGGGGGUAGAAUUCCACGUGUAGCAGUGAAAUGCGUAGAGAUGUGGAGGAAUACCGAUGGCGAAGGCAGCCACCUGGGAUAACACUGACGCUCAUGCACGAAGCGUGGGGAGCAAACAGGAUUAGAUA